Molecule: long non-coding RNA, 693 nt
Filed under: Triticum aestivum (bread wheat)
Lineage: Eukaryota; Viridiplantae; Streptophyta; Magnoliopsida; Poales; Poaceae
Description: long non-coding RNA (TAES_LNC026631)
Source: RNAcentral
UCAUCUUCAAUAAGGCUCCACAUCUCCUUCAGGCUUUCCGUGCAUCGUCUUCCCACCUUCAAUCAGUCUUCCCAUCUUCAAUCAGGUUCCAUGGCUUCACCAUCCUACACAGCAGUAUGAAUUUGUAUUUGUAAAUAUUUUCAUGGUACUGUUGAUUGAAUUAAUCUAUUUGGUAGUGAACCCUAUUUUGCAUAAAACCUCUGAUAAUUUCAUAUGGGCAAUUCCUAGGACAUAGUAGAUCCAACAACCUGGUAAUCUGUUAAUCUAAAUGAUAACACGUACUGUUGAAGGAAAAAUUAGAGGCAACUCUGAUUAGGGAGUACCGUAAAUAUGAACAUGUGGCACAUAAGAGAAUCAAAUUGCACUAUGAAUGCCUAUAUACAUACUAAAAUGAUCUAACACCGAACCACAAUUAGAUUAUCGAUGACUAUAUAUAUCAAGUGCAGUAGUUAACUUUUCAUGACAAGGAUGCAGUUUAAAGCACACUAUAAGGAUAAUUUUCCAUAAGUAUCAAUCAUAUUUAUCCAGAAUAUAUAGUGUGCAGUAAGAGCUAAGCAGUAAGCAGAUGAAGAUUAGAAUACCUUGUGAUGUCAUCUGAUGUUGAUAGCAGUACGUGGGGCAAGCGAGACCAGAUUUAAUAGCAAAUUAAAGAUCUUGGCAGCAACCUAGUAAAAUAACUGAUAAGGGAUGUGA